UUCGGGGACCGAAUGACAGGUGGUGCAUGGUUGUCGUCAGCUCGUGUCGUGAGAUGUUGGGUUAAGUCCCGCAACGAGCGCAACCCUUGUCCUUAGUUGCCAGCAUUAAGUUGGGCACUCUAAGGAGACUGCCGGUGACAAACCGGAGGAAGGUGGGGAUGACGUCAAAUCAUCAUGCCCCUUAUGACCUGGGCUACACACGUGCUACAAUGGAUGGUACAAAGGGCAGCAAAACCGCGAGGUCGAGCAAAUCCCAUAAAGCCAUUCUCAGUUCGGAUUGUAGGCUGCAACUCGCCUACAUGAAGCCGGAACCGCUAGUAAUCGCGGAUCAGCAUGCCGCGGUGAAUACGUUCCCGGGCCUUGUACACACCGCCCGUCACACCACGAGAGUUGGCAACACCCGAAGUCGGUGAGGU
This 416-nucleotide ribosomal RNA is filed under the name uncultured Bacillota bacterium. Its description in RNAcentral is "bacterial SSU rRNA". It matches the Rfam family "Bacterial small subunit ribosomal RNA", at positions 1019 to 1436 of the family's 1533-position model. The record is from RNAcentral. Lineage: Bacteria; Bacillati; Bacillota.